CGCCUAGUCCUGCCGCUGCCCGGGGGCUUCGAACGAACUCUGUACGGCAGGAGUGGGGGACCCACAGGUAAGUCGCCGUCCCGUCAGCCGGGACGGCUUGGGGUGAAGCCGCGCUUGCGGCCGGGCAACUCCAGCCCGAACCCGACAGCUCACCUCGCAGGCGUCGGAGAGGAAAUAC
Molecule: small RNA, 178 nt
Filed under: Streptomyces sp.
Lineage: Bacteria; Bacillati; Actinomycetota; Actinomycetes; Kitasatosporales; Streptomycetaceae
Description: c-di-AMP sequence
Rfam family: c-di-AMP riboswitch aptamer (ydaO/yuaA leader)
About the family: This family represents a conserved RNA structure found upstream of the ydaO and yuaA genes in Bacillus subtilis and related genes in other bacteria. The ydaO/yuaA element is thought to act as a genetic "off" switch for the ydaO and yuaA genes in its native state.
Source: RNAcentral